CUCGUUUCCAGCCAAGAGAAUGACCUUCACUAUAACCAGUGAGCUUCAGUUCCCACCAGUUAGGGAAAUUAAGGAUUUUUAAACCAGUUAGACACCGCCUGGUCAGGUUACUCAUUAUGUACCUUGUUCCCUUGGGCCUUUUUUUAAGCUCUGUAGAACAGAGAAGAAAAAUGUGCCCACUCUGUGGAACAUUUCAGUACAACAACUUUUUUUUUUUUUUUUUAAAGUCAAAAUGCAGAAUUUUUUUUUAUUUCCUUCUCAUCUCAAGGCCAGCUCAGAAGGCAGACAUUUGUUUACAGAGAAGAGACUGGACUCUCGGUGAAAGCAAGGACAAGUGCAAAACUUCACUUUGUCAAAGUAAGUGUGGAGAAAAUUAAGUAUAGAGCACAAGUCCAUCAGGAGAACUUAAAAGGUCAAAAAAAGAAUAGCAGUCUCCAGAGAGGAAUGAAGUCAGACAGGGAAACCUUCCUGAAUUUUAUCAAGAUCUUACACUCCUUUUUUGUGCAAAUGAGUAUGUAGCAGAAUUAAGUAUCUUGAUUACAUUUUGUAUUGGAACUGUCUGCACUGCUGUGCUAUGGUACAAAAUUGGAAAAAAAAAAGAAAAAGGGGCGACCCAUUCCUUAAUCUAGUAGUAUAUCUCACAGACAGUUGUGUCUGCACAAGAAGGCAAAG
Molecule: long non-coding RNA, 672 nt
Organism: Aquila chrysaetos chrysaetos
Lineage: Eukaryota; Metazoa; Chordata; Aves; Accipitriformes; Accipitridae
Exons: 2
Source: RefSeq, a predicted model, not a curated record